UACAGAGGGGGCAAGCGUUGUUCGGAAUUACUGGGCGUAAAGGGCGCGUAGGCGGCCUUCUAAGUCGAACGUGAAAUCCCCGGGCUCAACCCGGGAACUGCGUCCGAUACUGGAAGGCUUGAAUCCGGGAGAGGGAUGCGGAAUUCCGGGUGUAGCGGUGAAAUGCGUAGAUAUCCGGAGGAACACCGGUGGCGAAGGCGGCUUCCUGGACCGACACUGACGCUGAGGCGCGAAAGCUAGGGGAGCAAACGGG
RNAcentral lists this ribosomal RNA (253 nucleotides) under uncultured bacterium. Its description in RNAcentral is "partial 16S ribosomal RNA". It matches the Rfam family "Bacterial small subunit ribosomal RNA", at positions 524 to 776 of the family's 1533-position model. The record is from RNAcentral.